Molecule: small nuclear RNA, 136 nt
Filed under: Mustela putorius furo (domestic ferret)
Lineage: Eukaryota; Metazoa; Chordata; Mammalia; Carnivora; Mustelidae
Description: U4 spliceosomal RNA
Rfam family: U4 spliceosomal RNA
About the family: U4 small nuclear RNA (U4 snRNA) is a component of the major U2-dependent spliceosome. The structure of U4 snRNA from yeast and human has been reported.
Source: Rfam by way of RNAcentral
AUCAUUUGUAAUGUGGCAGUAUCAUAGCCAAUGAGGUUUAUCCGAGGCGCGAUUAUUGCUAAUUGAAAAUAUUGGAACAAGCUCAAUGUCCCCUAUUAUGGGGUUGCCUGUCUAUUUUGCGCAUUAACAGCUUUAA